GCCAGCCCGCUCAGAAACUCAAAUGAAUUGACGGGGGCCCGCACAAACGGUGGAGUAUGUGGUUUAAUUCGAUGCAACGCGAAGAACCUUACCUGGUCUUGACAUCCCGGAGACCCUUAGGAAACUAGGGGGUGCUUCCAUCUGGAAGAAUCUGGAGACAGGUGCUGCAUGGCUGUCGUCAGCUCGUGUCGUGAGAUGUUGGGUUAAGUCCCGCAACGAGCGCAACCCUUGCCUUUAGUUGCCAGCAGUUCGGCUGGGCACUCUAAAGGGACUGCCGGUGUUAAACCGGAGGAAGGUGGGGAUGACGUCAAGUCCUCAUGGCCUUUAUGACCAGGGCUACACACGUACUACAAUGGCCGAUACAAAGGGCAGCGACACUGCGAGGUGAAGCCAAUCCCAUAAAACCGGUCUCAGUCCGGAUUGGAGUCUGCAACUCGACUCCAUGAAGUUGGAAUCGCUAGUAAUCGUGGAUCAGCAUGCCACGGUGAAUACGUUCCCGGGCCUU
Molecule: ribosomal RNA, 505 nt
Filed under: uncultured Desulfobulbus sp.
Lineage: Bacteria; Pseudomonadati; Thermodesulfobacteriota; Desulfobulbia; Desulfobulbales; Desulfobulbaceae
Description: bacterial SSU rRNA
Rfam family: Bacterial small subunit ribosomal RNA
Source: RNAcentral